RNAcentral lists this ribosomal RNA (255 nucleotides) under uncultured bacterium. Its description in RNAcentral is "partial 16S ribosomal RNA". It matches the Rfam family "Bacterial small subunit ribosomal RNA", at positions 524 to 777 of the family's 1533-position model. The record is from RNAcentral.
UACGUAGGGUGCGAGCGUUGUCCGGAAUUAUUGGGCGUAAAGAGCUUGUAGGCGGUUUGUCGCGUCUGCUGUGAAAAUCCGGGGCUCAACCCCGGACUUGCAGUGGGUACGGGCAGACUAGAGUGUGGUAGGGGAGACUGGAAUUCCUGGUGUAGCGGUGGAAUGCGCAGAUAUCGGGAAGAACACCCGUGGCGAAGGCGGCUCUCUGGGACGGUACUGACGCUGAGACGCGAAAGCGUGGGGAGCCGAACGAGG